AUCAAAGGCAAGGAAGUUGGACGGCAUUACACUAAGACAUAGGAGGAACCAAGCCCAUUUACUACUUACUUUUGGACAGAGCGUGACACGACUUACUCACUCACGAAGUUCAAAGUGAAAGGGUCCCUUCGAGCCGGCAGAAAAGGUAAAGCUAGAAUCCUCAAUUCGUACUUCUGGAAAGAAAAAGCCAGCAAUCACUAAAAGAAAAGAUAGGAAACCUGCGCACUUCAAUUUAACCUGAAUUAACGAAUGGCAGCCUAUGACAGGGCUUACCAAUGCAACUCCGAAGGCUGACAAAAUAUCUUAAAUAACUCGCCUGGGUGGGCUACUCGUCUUGAGGGAUAGGCAAGACCUACUCCUUAAGAACAUAUUUAGUGCGGUGUUCUUUCCAUUCGGCAUGCCGAUAGGGAACGAUCCAUAUUCAAUAUAGUUAGUAAUCCAAUUUCUCUAUUUUAUGGCUGCUAGCUCAGUCUUGGAGCGUGAUGCAAGCUCUGCUUUCGGGCUUUUGCUCACUCUGAGCAGGGUAGGGUGCUCUAUACCUUAUUUAUGUAAUUUUCUGCUUUUAGCGGAUUGGAUGCUUUCGAUUCCUUAG
RNAcentral lists this unclassified non-coding RNA (592 nucleotides) under Hevea brasiliensis (rubber tree). Lineage: Eukaryota; Viridiplantae; Streptophyta; Magnoliopsida; Malpighiales; Euphorbiaceae. The record is from RNAcentral.